UUGCUCGUAGAUGUACGCUCUACAAGACUUCAACUUGCUCGAGGAUACCUCACCUCAAGACUUCACCUUGAUCGUGGAUACCGCACCACAAGACUUCACACACUAAGAUUGAAGGUACUUAGCAAACCCGACAAUCAAUGAGAAGAUAUGGUCUUCUCAAGAAUCUUUCUCUUUUACAACAAGAACUCUCUAAGAAGAGUCGAUAAAGAGAUAUAAUAUUAGCUCUAUGA
RNAcentral lists this long non-coding RNA (230 nucleotides) under Nicotiana benthamiana. RNAcentral describes it as "long non-coding RNA (NBEN_LNC011358)". The record is from RNAcentral. Lineage: Eukaryota; Viridiplantae; Streptophyta; Magnoliopsida; Solanales; Solanaceae.